CCUGCUGCUAGAGGCGCUGCAGGUGUGGCUGCUGUGUCCCACGCCAGUAGGUGGGAGAGAGGAGUGAGGCUGGGUCUAUGCUCAGUGCUCAGACCUGAGAACACCUGACAUUCCCUGAAAAA
RNAcentral lists this small nucleolar RNA (122 nucleotides) under Meriones unguiculatus (Mongolian gerbil). RNAcentral describes it as "Small nucleolar RNA SNORA17 (ENSMUGG00000002240.1)". It matches the Rfam family "Small nucleolar RNA SNORA17". From Rfam's summary of the family: snoRNA ACA 17 belongs to the H/ACA family of snoRNAs and is predicted to guide pseudouridylation of the 28S rRNA at positions U4659 and U4598. It shares the same host gene together with ACA43. Lineage: Eukaryota; Metazoa; Chordata; Mammalia; Rodentia; Muridae. The record is from RNAcentral.